CCAAUAGCGUAUAUUAAAGUUGUUGCAGUUAAAAAGCUCGUAGUUGAAUUUCGGGAUCAAUAUGUCGGUCGUGCCUUCGGUACGUACUGGUAUCAUUGGUCUCUCCUUUCUGACGAACCAUGAUGUCAUUAAUUUGGUGUUAUGGGGAGUUAGGACUGUUACUUUGAAAAAAUUAGAGUGUUUAAAGCAGGCUUUAGCUUGAAUACAUUAGCCUGGAAUAAUGAAAUAGGACGUUCGAACCUAUUUUGUUGGUUUCUAGGAUCAACGUAAUGAUUAAUAGUGAUAGUUGGGGGCAUUAGUAUUCAAUUGUCAGAGGUGAAAUUCUUGGAUUUAUUGAAGACUAACUACUGCGAAAGCAUUUGCCAAGGAUGUUUUCAUUAAUCAAGAACGAAAGUUAGGGGAUCGAAGACGAUCAGAUACCGUCGUAGUCUUAACCAUAAACUAUGCCGACUAGGGAUCGGAUGAUGUUAAUUUUUUAAUGACUCAUUCGGCGCCUUACG
This 500-nucleotide ribosomal RNA is filed under the name uncultured Glomeromycotina. RNAcentral describes it as "partial small subunit ribosomal RNA". It matches the Rfam family "Eukaryotic small subunit ribosomal RNA", at positions 591 to 1092 of the family's 1831-position model. The record is from RNAcentral. Lineage: Eukaryota; Fungi; Glomeromycota.